UAAGCAAAUCGAUGAUCAAAUGAUUUACUUUCUGAUGGGCCUCUGCAAUCAUCGGUUUAAACAAAUAUAAUCUUUCAUGCAUCAAAAUUUAAGAAAAACUAGCACUUCAUAUACUUCAUGAGCAAAUAUAACGAAUAACAUGUUUAAAUGAAAAUUUAAUUCAUAUAACAACAACUUCACGUAGGGAUCCUACCUUAAUUUGAAGUGAUAAGAUAGUAUCUACUUGAACGGAACACUCCAAAUCUCAAAUGUAAAAAUGCUUUCUUUAACGGGUUUGUCGUGUGUGCAUGUAUAUUAUCUAAAAUGUCUUGUAACCUAAUUUCAAUUGGAAUUCAUACGUAAACAGGAGUCUAAAACCGUUUAAAAUGAUAGAAUUUGAUUUUCAAGUAUUAGCACUGGGGAUAUGUAUUAGAUAUAUAUAUAUAUAUAUAUAUAAUCAAUCAAAAUAUCAAAUUCCAACUAUCUAGUGAUACUCGUGGCGCUAAAAUUUCAAUUGCUCAAAUAUAACUUCUUUUGAACUUCAAUAACUUAGCCUAGUUUAUCCGAAAUAACUUUUUCUCGAGUACAAAAUUCGUCAUUUAAUAUGAGUUUCGAAAUAAGCCCAAUAUCGAUAUAAAAUUUAUCGCUAGAUGAAUACUUGAUUAUCUGACCGAAAGCUAAAAUUUUGACACAAUGACUUAUUUUUAAACUAGUCCAUUGGUAUCUCAAUUAACAAAAUAUGUCAAGAUGAAAUAAAUGAAAAAUUACCUUCGAUUGCUACAUUUGGUACACACAUAGCAUCAUAUACAGGGAGAGGGUAAACCAGAUGCAAUAUUGACGUAUAAUUAAUACAUGAAAACCACACCAGAAAAUCGGAGAGAAACACAUCAUCAGGUAAAAAGAAAAGCCAGAUCGAAAUUAUUUGGAUCGAAGAAUUCGGUGAAGAUGAACGAAAGAAGUGUAUUAUGGAAGGCGGCUUAUGGAUUGUUUAAAUAGCGAUUUAUAGAGCUAGGUUUUGCUUUGAGUUAAUUUCCCAAAUCGCUAUGAAAUUUUAUACUUAAAA
Molecule: long non-coding RNA, 1042 nt
Filed under: Olea europaea (common olive)
Lineage: Eukaryota; Viridiplantae; Streptophyta; Magnoliopsida; Lamiales; Oleaceae
Description: long non-coding RNA (OEUR_LNC012573)
Source: RNAcentral